This is a long non-coding RNA of Pezoporus occidentalis (night parrot), 1442 nucleotides long. RefSeq lists it as uncharacterized. The record is from RefSeq and is a predicted model, not a curated record. Lineage: Eukaryota; Metazoa; Chordata; Aves; Psittaciformes; Psittacidae. The transcript is spliced from 3 exons.
AGGCUCACAGGUGUAGGAGCUGGCAUUCCAGAGGAGGAACAGGGAUGUGGGUAUUCAGCUCAGAAUCUUCAGUCUGUGUCUUCAUGAGUAUUUUAAGUUGGAGCAGGAAGGUGUUUUGAGGAAGUGGCUGCUCUACCUUGAUGCAAUAUUGAACCAUAGUGCCAGCAGGGACCAUCAGCAAAUUCUAGUCCACCUAGAUGCCAGUAACCACCAAAUCUUACCAGGCUUAGAUUACUAGGAGAGAGAAUGGGGAGGUACCCAUAGUUUUGUGAAGAGAAAGGUAUGAGCAGUGAUCUGGAAGCUGGAGAACAGGGACUUUGACAAUGGAUGUGAAUGUUAACUAAAGUCCUGUUUUCAGUGGCAGUACAGAAGAUUUUGGACUCCUGCUACAGAUUGUCUCUGCUCCUUUCAGAAUACUUGUGCUAAACUUGAAGAAACUGUGCCCUAAUCCAGUGAAAACAGAAUGUCCUCAGCUGCUUUAUGGAUCUUUUAGCCCACAGCUAAUUUUUCAUUAAAGGACAUCUGCAAGAAAAGGAUGUGAAUAUGUGAGUGAAGAGCAUUUCCUAAAUUACUGCAGAAUGCUUUGUGUCCUGGGUGUCCUGGGAACACAUGUUUCUAAAUCUAUCUCUUUCACAAAGUCAUAUAAUGGUUAAUAAAUACAGAGUGCAGAAAAUGUCCAGAACCCCUUGUUCUUUGCUGUUCAUCUUCUUCCUUGCUUUAAGUUCUUUAUGCAUUCUCUCACUAGUCUGUAUCUAAAAAUGACUGCUUUCAAAACUUCUGUAAACAAAAGACUACAAACAUAUACUCUCACUUGCUAUGUAGGUAUUUAAUGCUGUUACUCUCUUCUAAGUCAGACAAUGGGACAAGUGCUUUCCAGCUUAAAUAUAGUAUUCAUGAUUGAUGAAUGCAUUGCCGGUGCCUCUUAAAGUCAAGUCAUAAUGUCAUGGCAAUUUUGUCACAAACCGGUGUGGCUCAGUUGUAAGAAAACCUUUGACUGUGGAAAGCUGCUGUGCGGGUUUAAACCAGGCUUGUACACAGCUUAAAGGGGAUAGUCCAGUAAUAAAGCAAUGUAGUCAUCAUUCUAGGAGAUGUGCCCCAAAACAGGACAAUAUCUCAAAUAAUGGGCUAUGCUUGUUGCUUGCUUUCCACUUUGGAAUCAGCAUGGAGAUAUGUAGCAAUACUAGUUUAGCUGUAUUUAAAUAUACAUACAGCAGAAAAACAAGAAGCAAUUUUCCUGACAUAAAUGAAGUCCUUUCAGAGCUGUGGAAUACCUAUUGCUCGUCUUACCUUUUGCUGCACUCGGGUGGAACAAAAAAAGAUUUUACUAGGUACCCUAUUGCAUUAAUUUGAUAAACAGACAAACCUGAACAACACAGAAAAAACCCAGCCCUUAGAUGAUUUAACAGAUAAAUCUCAUUAAAUGAUAAGAAUAGGCUAUCUUA